This 1703-nucleotide unclassified non-coding RNA is filed under the name Hevea brasiliensis (rubber tree). The record is from RNAcentral. Lineage: Eukaryota; Viridiplantae; Streptophyta; Magnoliopsida; Malpighiales; Euphorbiaceae.
GGGAAUCCAGGUGAAUUUACAAUGCUUGAACUUGCUGAGAAUGUUAAGGAGCUUAUCAAUCCUGAUGUGAAGAUCGCUAUGGUGGAAAACACACCAGAUGAUCCUCGUCAAAGGAAGCCAGACAUUACAAAAGCAAAGGAGCUGCUAGGAUGGGAACCUAAGAUCAAGCUGCGUGAUGGUCUUCCACUUAUGGAGGAUGAUUUCCGACAGAGGCUUGGGGUCCCCAGAAAGAAUUGAAAUGCAUGCUGCUAGAAAAUUUUUACUGGAGCAAAUAGUCGACACCCUAGUCACCUGUUUCUUCCAAUGUCUUACUAUAAUUUACAAUAAAUGGAUUGUUCCCUUAUGAUUUAAAGUAGGCAAUAGUGUAAACAGUAGAACUUACAUCUAUUGAUUCAACCACUUGGUAUAUGAAUUAAUCAUGAGAGAACAAUCCAUUUAUUGUAAAUUAUAGUAAGACAUUGGAAGAAACAGGUGACUGGGGUGUCGACUAUUUGCUCCAGUAAAAAUUUUCUAGCAGCAUGCAUUUCAAUUCUUUCUGGGGACCCCAAGCCUCUGUCGGAAAUCAUCCUCCAUAAGUGGAAGACCAUCACGCAGCUUGAUCUUAGGUUCCCAUCCUAGCAGCUCCUUUGCUUUUGUAAUGUCUGGCUUCCUUUGACGAGGAUCAUCUGGUGUGUUUUCCACCAUAGCGAUCUUCACAUCAGGAUUGAUAAGCUCCUUAACAUUCUCAGCAAUUCACCUGGAUUCCCAAUAUUGAUAGGUCCAGUGUUCUCUCCUUCCAUCAAUCGAAUAAGACCAUCAACCAUGUCAGACACAUAACAGAAACUCCGGGUUUGUGUUCCUGGUGCUUGAACAGUCAAGGGCUCAUUACGGAUUGCUUGGGCUAUGAAAUUGCUGACAACACGCCCAUCAUCAAUGUUCAUGCGAGGUCCAUAUGUGUUGAAAAUUCUGGCAAUUCGUAUCUCAAUCCCAUGUUGUCUAUGGUAAUCAAACAUCAAAGUUUCAGCUACACGCUUUCCCUCAUCAUAGCAACUCCUAACUCCAAUUGGAUUGACAUUUCCCCAAUAGCUUUCAUCCUGAGGAUGCACAAGUGGAUCUCCGUACACCUCUGAAGUUGAGGUAAGCAAAAUCCUUGCCCCAACACGCUUGGCAAGACCCAACAUGUUCAAUGUACCAAUCACAUUUGUCUUUAUAGUCUUUACAGGAUUGUAUUUGUAGAAGAUUGGAGAAGCAGGGCAAGCAAGAUGGUAUAUUUGGUCAACCUCAAUAAGCAAUGGUUCAGUGACAUCAUGACGAAUGAGUUCAAAUCUUGGAUGACCAAUCCAUUUCUUCAGGUUGUCUUUUGAGCCAGUGAAGUAGUUAUCUACAACAAUCACCUCGUUCUUUUCAUUUUCCAUUAACUUGUCCACCAGGUGAGAGCCAAUAAAUCCAGCUCCUCCAGUGACCAAAAUUCUCAUAUUGGACUGAAAGAACUUGGAGAAUCUCAAAGGAGAUGGGGUCGGUGGUGGUUUUGAUGCAGAGUUGUGAUUUCCAUUAGCUGCUUCCUUAGCCAUUAUUGUUGAAUUCCGCUGAACUUAAGUGAGAAAUUUAGAUAGAGAGAUUUCUAAAUUCUACGAUUUCCGAUAGUACGUUAUACAGUGGAUAGAGAUGGAGAGAACAUUAUAUAUAGUGGAGUGUUUGAUGUUUGAAUGGUUUGAUCACGAAAG